CUUCUUUUGAUGACUCCCCCUUGUUAACACUCUCUGUCGAAUCAAUUAUAGUUCAUAUGCUAAAUGCAGAAUAAGCAUUUUAUUAAUGACCAUGAAAUUCAACAUUGCAUUGUAUCGAUACGAAUGAGCAUGGCAUUGGAUAGAAAUUCUGUAUGCGUUUUCUAAAAAAAAGCACCAUUUUGUUCAAUAGAAACGUAAAAUAUCAGUUUUAAGUGUACUUAGAAUCGAUGAAAUCGUCUCUCCAAUUAUUGCCAUCGAUACAAUUGAUUUCAGGAGUUUGAAAACCUGUUUUGAUGAAAAUAAAUUUUUUCUCAGCACAUAAAAGACUUGGAUUCUUCUUGACCGCCAUAGUUCUCUUUCAUGCAGUGCAGGAAUCAAGUGGUCGCAAAAUGUUGGAAUUAAGCGCAGCAAUCUGUUUGUUGGCAGCUUCUGCUGUAGUGUCGAGUGACUAUUACGCAAAUCCAAAAGUAUUUCAUUUUACAAGAGAUCAAAGCGAAAGCAAUGGUUUCAAUUUUGAAUACACAUUGGCUAAUGGUGAAAAAUUCAUUGGCAAAGCGACCCCUUUGCAUAGUCGUUCAACGAAUAUCUACGUGAUGAUGGGCGCCGAUGACUCAUUCUACUGGGUUAACUUUUCAGAAGAUGAUCUCAAGAAAGAUUCUUUUGAUAAAUCUGCGAACUAUGUGCAUCUCGAUCGAGGAAACAAAAUACUGGCUAAUUUGAUGGAUGACUUCGUUUCUUAUGAUAUUUAUCGAAAUGGUAUACUGAUCGGGGGACCGUAUGCAACAUAGUUAGUUCAAAUUGGGAUGUGAAUAAAGUUGCCUUUCAACGGGCUGAUACUAAAUCGAAAACAUUCAAUUAUGUAAUCUCGUCAUCAAAUAAUGGAAGGCAAUACAGAAACAUAACAUCGUAUACCGCUGAUCCACAUAUUCAAACGAUUAACGUACCAGAUUAUCACGAAUGUUUCUUAUUCCAAGCCACUUUCACUGACGAAGAACUCAAUUCUAGUCAAACAAUCCAUAAACAAUUGGAUCAAAGCACUGUAUGUGAGCCUCCACCAGCAGGAGUUCCCCCUGGGUGCUUUAAUGGAGAUCGAUCCAAAUCUUCUCAAAAGCUUGACUGGGUAGACUAAGUCUACUAUGCCAUUAGUUGCAGAGAUUACUAUGAGAUAUUUUUAUUCAUAUGGGAUAGAAAUAUCGCAUAAAAUUUUCCUUUGGAAGCAAAGAUAAUUUCAGAUUUACAGUUAUAACACCUAUUCGCUAAUAAUUGAUCGGUAUUAACAUGUUUAUAAUGAAAUAAAUAAAAAAUGCUGACAAUAUAUUUUUUUAAAUAGCAAGAUGACCAUAGUAUUUCUGACUUUAAUAAUUAGACAGCAAAAGUUUCACCAGUUGAAAUUAUUUGAUUUUAUAAAGUUUAUGUUGAUUGAUGAGGCCAAAUUUAUAGCAUUGAAACAUUGCGAACUUUGAAGUAAAUACGAUUUCCUAGC
Molecule: RNA transcript, 1483 nt
Organism: Sitodiplosis mosellana (orange wheat blossom midge)
Lineage: Eukaryota; Metazoa; Arthropoda; Insecta; Diptera; Cecidomyiidae
Exons: 6
Source: RefSeq, a predicted model, not a curated record